Molecule: ribosomal RNA, 358 nt
Filed under: uncultured bacterium
Lineage: Bacteria
Description: partial 16S ribosomal RNA
Rfam family: Bacterial small subunit ribosomal RNA
Source: RNAcentral
CCUACGGGUGGCUGCAGUCGAGAAUCAUUGACAAUGGUGGAGACCCUGAUGGAGCGAAGCCGCGUGGGGGAAUGAAGUACAUCGGAUCGUAAACCUCUGUCAUGUGGGAGCAAAUUAUAAAGAUAGUACCCCAAGAGGAAGAGACGGCUAACCCUGUGCCACUAGCCGCGGUAAUACAGAGGGCUUAAGAGUUUUUCGGCAUCACUGGGCGUAAAGGGUGCGUAGGGGGUUUCGUACGUCGUGUGUGAAAGGCGCGGGCUCAAACCGCGGCCAGCAGUUGAUACUGGCAGUCUAGAGUAAGGGAGGAGGAAGCGGAAUGCGCGGUGUAGCGGUGAAAUGCAUAGAUAUCGAGAAGAAC